GUUUCGCCACUUUCCACAUCGUUCUCUCCACUCGUUCGUGUUCGGUCGCACCCCGCUGUCUCUCUCACGCCCUCUCCCCGUCGCUCUCGUCUCCACACACGCGCACAUCGCAGCACAUUUUCUCGCUAACGCGUUGCCUACUCACCUUCGCCUCUCUUGUCGCGGUCAUGAGCGCCAUUGUCCCCCCUCCGCCGUCGGGCUCCAUUCUGCAGAAGCAGAGCAGCUUUUCGCGGCCGAAGGCGAACAAUGCCGCCGCCACCACACCCGGAGCUGAGACUUACGGUGCCGGCGGUGCGCCUGCUGCCAACGGCCAAUCAACCGCACCGAGUGCUGCCGCCCAGAAGCCCGCCAUGACCCUGCAGCGCCACGACCCCACUGGCGCCCCUCCGGCUGUCGCCCCACUCACCGGCGGCCCCCCCACUGUAUCCCCGGCGCCUCCGGCUGGCGCACCCAAAAAGCAGCUUGGCGUUGCGUCGGGCCCUGCGCCGGACGGGCACCCUAAUCAGCCCGCGGCGCCGCCGGGCAUGUGGGGGCCCAAAGGUCAGAUUGCCCCCGGUGCGCCGGGCAUGUCUCCUGCUCCGGGACUGAGGCGCGUUGCACCCCCUCCGGCUGUUCCGCCGGCGACUUCUCCGGCCGCUACUGCGCCGACAACCCAGCUGCCCAGCAUGGUUCGGCAGAACAGCGUGAACGGCCUUCCCUACGGUUCCAUGGGUGGCGGUUUUGGCUCCAUGCGUGGCGGCUUCGGCUCUCUGGGGGCGGGCCAGAUGGCUGGCUCUGCCUACGGCACCAUGGGUGCUCCAUACGGCUCCAUGGGUGCCGGCUACGGUAGCAUGAACGGGAACAUGAACUGCGGCAGCGCGUACGGCUCCAUGGGCGAUCAGGGGGCCAACCUUUACGGAUCCAUGGGCGGCGAGAACUGCAUGGGCUCGAUGGUGGGGGGCCAAAUGGGCUCGAUGUACGGCAUGGACGGCCCUGGCUCCAUGAUGGGCGGCACCAUGAUGAUGCCGAUGAGCUCCAUGUACGGCAUGGGAGGCCCGAUGGACUCCAUGUACGGCAUGGGCGGUAUGAGCACGAUGGGCAUCGCGGCGCAGUGGGGCAGCCUCGCCAACAUGAGCAUGGGCGGCCACGGCAGCCAGGUGAAGCGCAGCGGCAUCUCGAGCGGCUAUGGUGGCUUCGUGUCCGAGGCAACUCGCGUGGACACUGACGAGCUGUGCCCGCAAAUCGGCACCUUCGAGAAUGCCAAGGACCUGCCGCGCAGCGGAAAGCGCGGCGGCAACCACCUAUACAGCCGUGGCAAGCACGAAAAGCCGGUGGCGACGGGCAACUCUACCGUGACAGCCUUGACGAUCCGUCGCAAGUCAGACGUCAAGCUGGGCAGCAGCGCAGCCGGUGCCAGCAACGGUACGACUACUCACUCGGAGACCAAGGUGAGCCGCGGAGCGUCGCGUGCGUUGCCGUCUACGGCGGCUGGUCGCAACGGGGCCGCCGGCAAGCUGCGCGCAAAGUUGCCAUCGAACUACAACGUGCACUCGCUCAUCCUGGUAGAGAAGGCCACCGGCGCCGAUGUGAUCACUGUCAAGGACCCCAGCACCGUCGUCUUCGAGAAGGGCGGCAAGAAGGAGACGUUCGAGGUGGACGAGGCUCUGUCGCUAUCCUCGGCGAAGGACGACGUUGACUCGGUGCUUCUUUCGGAGCUGCGCGGCAACUGGUUCAACGGUCACAACUCGGCACUUAUGCUGUGCGCUGGUAAGGGCAGGGCCGAGGCGACGCAGGACGUGGCGCGCCAGUUUCUGCGCAAGUGCGUGGAACGCCUGGAGAAGAACGAGAAGGACAUGGCUGUCAAGUUCGACAUCACGAUGACGAUGGUGUCGCUCCGCUGUGCCGACCAGUGCUGCGACCUCCUCAAACCUGGCGCCUCUUACGAGAAGAUGGUGAUGGGGUCAUCGCCCGUGUACGGCCCGUGCCUGCUGGGGCUGGAGACAAAGGUACACAAGACAGCGAGCGAGUGCGUCAGCUCCUUCGACGGCGGGCUGAAGAAUGCAAAGGAGGAUAAAGAGAUCGUUGUCGCUUUCUUCGUUCUCAAGACGAUCAAGAAGACGGGUGCGGAGGAAGAGGUUCACUUGUCCUCCCUCUGCAUCGCACUCUGUGGCGAGACGGUGGCGCACAAGACAGAUAUUCGCGACAAGUCUGCGUCGUCGCCGCACCGCCUUUUCCGCUACGCCGUCGACGGCGCCUGCGUCACCGUGAGCGGGCUGUGGAUUGCGUCGAAGGAUGUGGACGCCCGCGAAGGUCUCGAGGUGGAGCGCAAGAUGCGCGAGGUGAAGAACCAGCCGCCGCGCAGUGGUAACGUGAAACGCUUUGUGGACUACACGUACAAGGAGAUCAUGCGCCAAAAGGAGAAGCUGGAGUCCGCGACCGGGUCGGAAAAGAAGACGCGUGAGGCGCAGAUCGAACGGAUGGAAGAGAUGGUCAAGGACGCGAAGGAGCUCCUCACGUCGCCCGAGAACACGCGGCCGAAGGGCUACUCCAUGGGCCGCUAAAGCGCUCCCACGCAGCGAGAAGCUGGCGCGGCUACGUCGUGAAUACAGCACCCCGUCCCUUCCCGGCCGCCCCCUCGCCCUUUUUGCUGUUCUUCCCAUUCCGUCCUCCCGGCGCGUGCGUGCUUGUGCGCACUGAUGCAGAGGGGUGGUGGGGAGCACCCCGGCUUGAGACCGACCAGCGCAUACGCACAUCCGCGGCAAAUGAGGCAUUGCCUCCUCUUGCUGUUGCUCCAUUUGUUCCCCCCUUCUCCCUGCGCUUUCUGGUGCAACAAAGCAUCGCCCAUGUCAUGUGUCCCUCUCUCUGUUUCUCGCUUCAUUGUCAUUGUCGGCAUCAUGAUGGUGGACAAGAGCCUCAGAUGUAGGUGUGCCUGUCUUCGUUGUGGUUGUGUGUGUAUGCUGUUCUUUCGUGACCGGCGCACCCACACUUGUAUGGGCAGCCGUUUUUCCCGUGGUUGCCCUUCUUUGUUCAAUUCGUUUGGCCCUAUGUGUACAGUCCUCUCCAUGGGCCCCUCCUUCUUGCCCGCCACUUUCCUCAUUUUCACCUCCACCGUGUCUCUCACGUCUGCUGUGCGUUGGCUUGUUGUAGUCGUGUAUCUCGUUGAGCUCUCCCUCUCCUCUGAUGAACGCCCGCCACCCUCCUCCCCUCUCACUACUCCCCAGCGUUCCCUAGCUUCCACCCCCCGCACCUUCGUUUCAUGCUUUGCAUCGCAAAGCAUGAGAUCUUGUUUCGUGUUCUCCUCUCUCAUCAUCCAGCCCUGCACUCCGAAAAACAAGACGCAGUGCUCAAGAGGCGUGCAUGCGGAAGGACAGGGACAACCGAAAAAAAGGGGGGAGGGUUGGAAAAUGAGAGGAGAAAGAGUGCUGAUGUGUUUGCACACGUGGUGGCGAACCGUGUAUUCGUGGAGCCUACAUUCAUCUUCCUCUCCCCCACCCCUCCCUACGCUCACAGACAGACACCUUUUUUUUGUUUGGUUUCCUCCACGUCAAGGUAUUCACUCUGCUCACAGUGUGUGUUAGGUCAUGUGCUACUGUGCUGAUGUGUGAGGGCUCUCUUGCGCGUUCUCUCUUUUUCGUUGUUCUUAAACAUCAUUAUGCCUUUUUUCUUGCAUUUCUUAUUUUUUUUUCCGCACCUAUUGCACCUCCACCUUGCAUGCGCGUGAGCCCGCACCUGUGCGCGUGUGUAAAGGUAUAUGUGUUUAUGCCCCGCACGCUCUUGAAGGCAAGCGGUGCAUCAGCUGUGAUGAACUCUACCUGCUUCACUUCCGCCUCUAAACCAGAAUGUCUCUCUCAUUUUGCCAGCCGUCUUUCUCUGUUUCUGGUACAUGUGUGCGAGGACUUUCAGGGUCAGGUGUCCGCGGAGAGAGGUGAAGCAGGAAGGAUGGCGCCCUUUGGCGUCAAGCGCACAUGUAUUUACCUACGUGCUCACCAAUCAAAAAAGGAGGACUGCAGGGAGUGUCAUCGUUUUAUUUUUUAUUGAUAUUUCGCGUGUCUGUGUUUGCGUGUCCUGCAUCUCACACCUCGAUGGGCUUGUCUUCGCCUUUUCUUUUUUUUUUCGGUGACGUUUUUUUUUUCUCUCUCCGACUCACAUCCUCUCUCGGUUCUCGCAGGCGUGAGCGCGUGUGUGUGUGUGUUGAAGAGAGGCAUGCGCGGUACAGCCUACUCAUCUCUAAGAUCCUUUUCAUCCUUCUUUCCCCUCCCACCACUCCAGAUACUUAGCUGCCCAUGCACAUGAGAUG
This 4276-nucleotide unclassified non-coding RNA is filed under the name Leishmania donovani. Its description in RNAcentral is "gene:LdHU3.33.4500(CDS-product:hypothetical_prote in_conserved)". Lineage: Eukaryota; Euglenozoa; Kinetoplastea; Trypanosomatida; Trypanosomatidae. The record is from RNAcentral.